UUUGUGUGGACGUCCAUCUUUGAUGUGUCUUCAUGAGGACACUCAGGUCCACGGAAGACAGAUGUCAGGAUGAAUGUUUGUGUGGACGUCCAUCUCUGACGUGUCUUCAUGAGGACACUCAGGUCCACGGAAGACAGAUGUCAGGAUGAAUGUUUGUGUGGACGUCCAUCUCUGACGUGUCUUCAUGAGGACACUCAGGUCCACGGAAGACAGAUGUCAGGAUGAAUGUUUGUGUGGACGUCCAUCUUUGAUGUGUCUUCAUGAGGACACUCAGGUCCACGGAAGACAGAUGUCAGGAUGAAUGUUUGUGUGGACGUCCAUCUUUGACGUGUCUUCAUGAGGACACUCAGGUCCACGGAAGACAGAUGUCAGGAUGAAUGUUUGUGUGGACGUCCAUCUCUGACGUGUCUUCAUGAGGACACUCAGGUCCACGGAAGACAGAUGUCAGGAUGAAUGUUUGUGUGGACGUCCAUCUUUGAUGUGUCUUCAUGAGGACACUCAGGUCCACGGAAGACAGAUGUCAGGAUGAAUGUUUGUGUGGACGUCCAUCUCUGACGUGUCUUCAUGAGGACACUCAGGUCCACAGAAGACAGAUGUCAGGAUGAAUAUUUGUGUGGACGUCCAUCUUUGAUGUGUCUUCAUGAGGACACUCAGGUCCACAGAAGACAGAUGUCAGGAUGAAUAUUUGUGUGGACGUCCAUCUUUGAUGUGUCUUCAUGAGGACACUCAGGUCCACGGAAGACAGAUGUCAGGGUGAAUGUUUGUGUGGACGUCCAUCUCUGACGUGUCUUAAUGAGGACACUCAGGUCCACGGAAGACAGAUGUCAGGGUGAAUGUUUGUGUGGACGUCCAUCUCUGACGUGUCUUAAUGAGGACACUCAGGUCCACGGAAGACAGAUGUCAGGAUGAAUGUUUGUGUGGACGUCCAUCUCUGACGUGUCUUCAUGAGGACACUCAGGUCCACGGAAGACAGAUGUCAGGGUGAAUGUUUGUGUGGACGUCCAUCUCUGACGUGUCUUAAUGAGGACACUCAGGUCCACGGAAGACAGAUGUCAGGAUGAAUAUUUGUGUGGACGUCCAUCUCUGACGUGUCUUCAUGAGGACACUCAGGUCCACAGAAGACAGAUGUCAGGAUGAAUGUUUGUGUGGACGUCCAUCUCUGACGUGUCUUCAUGAGGACACUCAGGUCCACGGAAGACAGAUGUCAGGAUGAAUGUUUGUGUGGACGUCCAUCUCUGACGUGUCUUCAUGAGGACACUCAGGUCCACAGAAGACAGAUGUCAGGACGAAUAUUUGUGUGGACGUCCAUCUCUGACGUGUCUUCAUGAGGACACUCAGGUCCACAGAAGACAGAUGUCAGGGUGAAUGUUUGUGUGGACGUCCAUCUCUGACGUGUCUUCAUGAGGACACUCAGGUCCACGGAAGACAGAUGUCAGGGUGAAUGUUUGUGUGGACGUCCAUCUUUGACGUGUCUUCAUGAGGACACUCAGGUCCACGGAAGACAGAUGUCAGGGUGAAUGUUUGUGUGGACGUCCAUCUCUGACGUGUCUUCAUGAGGACACUCAGGUCCACGGAAGACAGAUGUCAGGGUGAAUGUUUGUGUGGACGUCCAUCUUUGACGUGUCUUCAUGAGGACACUCAGGUCCACGGAAGACAGAUGUCAGGAUGAAUGUUUGUGUGGACGUCCAUCUUUGACGUGUCUUCAUGAGGACACUCAGGUCCACGGAAGACAGAUGUCAGGAUGAAUGUUUGUGUGGACGUCCAUCUCUGACGUGUCUUCAUGAGGACACUCAGGUCCACGGAAGACAGAUGUCAGGAUGAAUGUUUGUGUGGACGUCCAUCUUUGAUGUGUCUUCAUGAGGACACUCAGGUCCACGGAAGACAGAUGUCAGGGUGAAUGUUUGUGUGGACGUCCAUCUCUGACGUGUCUUCAUGAGGACACUCAGGUCCACGGAAGACAGAUGUCAGGGUGAAUGUUUGUGUGGACGUCCAUCUCUGACGUGUCUUCAUGAGGACACUCAGGUCCACAGAAGACAGAUGUCAGGGUGAAUGUUUGUGUGGACGUCCAUCUCUGACGUGUCUUCAUGAGGACACUCAGGUCCACGGAAGACAGAUGUCAGGGUGAAUGUUUGUGUGGACGUCCAUCUCUGACGUGUCUUCAUGAGGACACUCAGGUCCACAGAUGUGAGGAUGAAGGUUUGUGUGGACGUCCAUCUUUGACGUGUCUUCAUGAGGACACUCAGGUCCACAGAUGUGAGGAUGAAUGUUUGUGUGGACGUCCAUCUUUGACGUGUCUUCAUGAGGACACUCAGGUCCACGGAAGACAGAUGUCAGGGUGAAUGUUUGUGUGGACGUCCAUCUCUGACGUGUCUUCAUGAGGACACUCAGGUCCACAGAUGUGAGGAUGAAGGUUUGUGUGGACGUCCAUCUUUGACGUGUCUUCAUGAGGACACUCAGGUCCACAGAUGUGAGGAUGAAUGUUUGUGUGGACGUCCAUCUUUGACGUGUCUUCAUGAGGACACUCAGGUCCACGGAAGACAGAUGUCAGGGUGAAUGUUUGUGUGGACGUCCAUCUUUGAUGUGUCUUCAUGAGGACACUCAGGUCCACGGAAGACAGAUGUCAGGAUGAAUAUUUGUGUGGACGUCCAUCUCUGACGUGUCUUCAUGAGGACACUCAGGUCCACGGAAGACAGAUGUCAGGAUGAAUAUUUGUGUGGACGUCCAUCUUUGACGUGUCUUCAUGAGGACACUCAGGUCCACGGAAGACAGAUGUCAGGAUGAAUGUUUGUGUGGACGUCCAUCUCUGACGUGUCUUCAUGAGGACACUCAGGUCCACGGAAGACAGGAUGAAUGUUUGUGUGGACGUCCAUCUCUGACGUGUCUUCAUGAGGACACUCAGGUCCAGGGAAGACAGAUGUCAGGAUGAAUGUUUGUGUGGACGUCCAUCUCUGACGUGUCUUCAUGAGGACACUCAGGUCCACAGAAGACAGAUGUCAGGGUGAAUGUUUGUGUGGACGUCCAUCUUUGAUGUGUCUUCAUGAGGACACUCAGGUCCACGGAAGACAGAUGUCAGGAUGAAUGUUUGUGUGGACGUCCAUCUCUGACGUGUCUUCAUGAGGACACUCAGGUCCACGGGAGACAGAUGUCAGGAUGAAUGUUUGUGUGGACGUCCAUCUCUGACGUGUCUUCAUGAGGACACUCAGGUCCACGGAAGACAGAUGUCAGGGUGAAUGUUUGUGUGGACGUCCAUCUUUGAUGUGUCUUCAUGAGGACACUCAGGUCCACGGAAGACAGAUGUCAGGAUGAAUGUUUGUGUGGACGUCCAUCUCUGACGUGUCUUCAUGAGGACACUCAGGUCCACAGAAGACAGAUGUCAGGAUGAAUAUUUGUGUGGACGUCCAUCUUUGACGUGUCUUCAUGAGGACACUCAGGUCCACGGAAGACAGAUGUCAGGAUGAAUGUUUGUGUGGACGUCCAUCUUUGAUGUGUCUUCAUGAGGACACUCAGGUCCACGGAAGACAGAUUUUAGGAUGAAUGUUUGUGUGGACGUCCAUCUUUGAUGUGUCUUCAUGAGGACACUCAGGUCCACGGAAGACAGAUGUCAGGAUGAAUGUUUGUGUGGACGUCCAUCUCUGACGUGUCUUCAUGAGGACACUCAGGUCCACGGAAGACAGGAUGAAUGUUUGUGUGGACGUCCAUCUCUGACGUGUCUUCAUGAGGACACUCAGGUCCAGGGAAGACAGAUGUCAGGAUGAAUGUUUGUGUGGACGUCCAUCUCUGACGUGUCUUCAUGAGGACACUCAGGUCCACAGAAGACAGAUGUCAGGGUGAAUGUUUGUGUGGACGUCCAUCUUUGAUGUGUCUUCAUGAGGACACUCAGGUCCACGGAAGACAGAUGUCAGGAUGAAUGUUUGUGUGGACGUCCAUCUCUGACGUGUCUUCAUGAGGACACUCAGGUCCACGGGAGACAGAUGUCAGGAUGAAUGUUUGUGUGGACGUCCAUCUCUGACGUGUCUUCAUGAGGACACUCAGGUCCACGGAAGACAGAUGUCAGGGUGAAUGUUUGUGUGGACGUCCAUCUUUGAUGUGUCUUCAUGAGGACACUCAGGUCCACGGAAGACAGAUGUCAGGAUGAAUGUUUGUGUGGACGUCCAUCUCUGACGUGUCUUCAUGAGGACACUCAGGUCCACAGAAGACAGAUGUCAGGAUGAAUAUUUGUGUGGACGUCCAUCUUUGACGUGUCUUCAUGAGGACACUCAGGUCCACGGAAGACAGAUGUCAGGAUGAAUGUUUGUGUGGACGUCCAUCUUUGAUGUGUCUUCAUGAGGACACUCAGGUCCACGGAAGACAGAUUUUAGGAUGAAUGUUUGUGUGGACGUCCAUCUUUGAUGUGUCUUCAUGAGGACACUCAGGUCCACGGAAGACAGAUGUCAGGGUGAAUGUUGGAGAUGAGACACAGGUGGAAGACCUUCCACUGUUAUCUUCUGCUGUGCAGGAACUUCUACUAUAAUUUUUUGGCUUUUUUUUUUUAUGGUUGUGACAUAUUUUUUUAGACAUUUUCGGCCAUUGUCUUUUCUUUUUUUCCCCCAUAAGAAGAGAGAAAAAGACAUCUUGUAUUUGCACUUUCUCACCAGGUGAAAUGUAAAUGUGAUGAAUGAAGACUUCUAUUUGUGUGUUUGCUGCAUUCACUCAUUCAAGGUAUGCUCUUUGUGUGUGUUUGUAUGCUGUUGCCAUGGAUACCGCACAGCAUGAAUCCUUGUCAUUCUUCCUGCUGGACUCAAAUUAUUACAAUAAUAAUAAAGACUAUUUCUCUUUGUGGAUGAA
Long non-coding RNA from Nerophis ophidion (straightnose pipefish), 4824 nucleotides. RefSeq lists it as uncharacterized. NCBI's taxonomy places the organism in Eukaryota, Metazoa, Chordata, Actinopteri, Syngnathiformes, Syngnathidae. The transcript is spliced from 2 exons. The record is from RefSeq and is a predicted model, not a curated record.